CGUAGGGUGCGAGCGUUAAUCGGAAUUACUGGGCGUAAAGCGUGCGCAGGCGGUUUUGUAAGACAGGCGUGAAAUCCCCGGGCUCAACCUGGGAACUGCGCUUGUGACUGCAAGGCUAGAGUACGGCAGAGGGGGUGGAAUUCCACGUGUAGCAGUGAAAUGCGUAGAGAUGUGGAGGAACACCAAUGGCGAAGGCAGCCCCCUGGGUCGAUACUGACGCUCAUGCACGAAAGCGUGGGUAGCAAACAGGAUUAGAUACCCUGGUAGUCCACGCCCUAAACGAUGUCAACUAGGUGUUGGGUGGGUAAAACCAUUUAGUACCGGAGCUAACGCGUGAAGUUGACCGCCUGGGAGUACGGCCGCAAGGUUA
RNAcentral lists this ribosomal RNA (370 nucleotides) under uncultured organism. RNAcentral describes it as "bacterial SSU rRNA". It matches the Rfam family "Bacterial small subunit ribosomal RNA", at positions 526 to 896 of the family's 1533-position model. The record is from RNAcentral.